This is a non-coding RNA of Pelobates cultripes (western spadefoot toad), 317 nucleotides long. Lineage: Eukaryota; Metazoa; Chordata; Amphibia; Anura; Pelobatidae. The record is from the annotation of a GenBank genome assembly.
CAAAUGUACAUCCACAUUUAAAAUCCAACACUACAGCCAAAUACACCUCUGCACACAAAUACUAACAUUCCAUCAAAACACAUUCCUGUAUUAAAACAAUAAAAUUUCAUACAAACACCAACUCUACACACAAAAACACACCUGCAGUCUGUUUACUAUAUGUAGAAAUUAGUGUGUAUCUAUAGUAAAAAAAAUAAAUUGCUAACAAUAAGACAUUAUGCUCUCCUAAUCGGAAGGUUUACGCAACAGCGCAAAAUAGUUUGUUUUUUGGGGGGGAGGAAGCGUGGGUUCCACGAUGUUGAUACACUAUGUCAAAG